GUGACGGUUCGGAUAUUGGGCGUAAGAGCUCGUAGGCGGUUUGUCGCGUCUGCCGUGAAAGUCCGGGGCUCAACUCCGGAUCUGCGGUGGGUACGGGCAGACUAGAGUGAUGUAGGGGAGACUGGAAUUCCUGGUGUAGCGGUGAAAUGCGCAGAUAUCAGGAGGAACACCGAUGGCGAAGGCAGGUCUCUGGGCAUUAACUGACGCUGAGGAGCGAAAGCAUGGGGAGCGAACAGGAUUAGAUACCCUGGUAGUCCAUGCCGUAAACGUUGGGCACUAGGUGUGGGGGACAUUCCACGUUUUCCGCGCCGUAGCUAACGCAUUAAGUGCCCCGCCUGGGGAGUACGGCCGCAAGGCUAAAACUCAAAGGAAUUGACGGGGGCCCGCACAAGCGGCGGAGCAUGCGGAUUAAUUCGAUGCAACGCGAAGAACCUUACCAAGGCUUGACAUGAACCGGUAAGACCUGGAAACAGGUCCCCCACUUGUGGCCGGUUUACAGGUGGUGCAUGGUUGUCGUCAGCUCGUGUCGUGAGAUGUUGGGUUAAGUCCCGCAACGAGCGCAACCCUCGUUCCAUGUUGCCAGCGCGUUAUGGCGGGGACUCAUGGGAGACUGCCGGGGUCAACUCGGAGGAAGGUGGGGACGACGUCAAAUCAUCAUGCCCCUUAUGUCUUGGGCUUCACGCAUGCUACAAUGGCCGGUACAAAGGGUUGCGAUACUGUGAGGUGGAGCUAAUCCCAAAAAGCCGGUCUCAGUUCGGAUUGGGGUCUGCAACUCGACCCCAUGAAGUCGGAGUCGCUAGUAAUCGCAGAUCAGCAACGCUGCGGUGAAUACGUUCCCGGGCCUUGUACACACCGCCCGUCAAGUCACGAAAGUUGGUAACACCCGAAGCCGGUGGCCUAACCCCUUGUGGGAGGAGCUGUCGAAGGUGGGACUGGCGAUUGGGACUAAGUCGUAACAAGGUAA
Molecule: ribosomal RNA, 964 nt
Filed under: uncultured bacterium
Lineage: Bacteria
Description: bacterial SSU rRNA
Rfam family: Bacterial small subunit ribosomal RNA
Source: RNAcentral